GCGGGUAUGGUUCAGUGGCAGAAUGCGACCUUCCCAAGGUUGAGAUAGGGGUUCGAUUCCCCUUACCCGCUCAA
RNAcentral lists this transfer RNA (74 nucleotides) under Candidatus Azambacteria bacterium RIFCSPLOWO2_01_FULL_37_9. RNAcentral describes it as "tRNA-Gly". It matches the Rfam family "tRNA". From Rfam's summary of the family: Transfer RNA (tRNA) molecules are approximately 80 nucleotides in length. Their secondary structure includes four short double-helical elements and three loops (D, anti-codon, and T loops). Further hydrogen bonds mediate the characteristic L-shaped molecular structure. tRNAs have two regions of fundamental functional importance: the anti-codon, which is responsible for specific mRNA codon recognition, and the 3' end, to which the tRNAs corresponding amino acid is attached (by aminoacyl-tRNA synthetases). tRNAs cope with the degeneracy of the genetic code in two manners: having more than one tRNA (with a specific anti-codon) for a particular amino acid; and 'wobble' base-pairing, i.e. permitting non-standard base-pairing at the 3rd anti-codon position. Lineage: Bacteria; Candidatus Azamiibacteriota. The record is from RNAcentral.